UCUCGACAUCUUCGCUCAUGUAGGUGUCCGCCUAGAACAGGAACAGAGAAAGGAAAGGAAGCUGCCCACCUAUGACUUGGAAGACUCAGACAGCAAUCCCUCCUAAACUGACCAACAGAUUCAACACAUUCCUACUGAAACCAGCUGGCUUCUUUGCGGAAACUGGAUGUGGGGAAGCAGAAAGAAAAAGGGAACGUGAACUAAGCUCACCUUAAUGAUCUCUUCGUGCCCGUCAUGGGACUCCACCAG
This is a non-coding RNA of Myodes glareolus (Bank vole), 249 nucleotides long. The record is from RefSeq and is a predicted model, not a curated record. NCBI's taxonomy places the organism in Eukaryota, Metazoa, Chordata, Mammalia, Rodentia, Cricetidae.